AAAACUACUCAAGAUUGACUCAAACUACUCAAAAUUGACUCAAACACUCAACUAGACUAAGAAACACUUAAGACUUAAAACUGACUCAAACUACUCAAAACAGCAAAACUAAGUUAAAAAGACUCAAAACAAACUCUAGGGACUUUUUGGACGAAUUUAAGACUAGUAAGACUCAAAACACUAAAUUGGACAGAUUUAAACACUUUUCUAACUAAUCUAAGACAUUUGAUUAGAAUGGGGAUUGAUUUGGACGAAAAUUAACUAAAUUAAACAGAUUGCAAAACAAAGUAAAUUAGGUGAUUUGAAUGGUGAAAACAUAGCCAGAGGAUCCUUCUCCACACGUGACAUAUGCAUAUAAACCAAUUUCCAGUAUUGUUCCCUUAGACUAUAAAUGACAAUACACCAAGUAAACCAUGACAACACAAAUUAACCAUCAGAUUUUCCUUAAAUCAUUGAAUUGGACGGGAUACGCAUCACAACCAAAUUAUCCUUAUCAAGUUCCCUAACUAUGAAAAGCAUGAGAGAGAGACAUAUCAAAGGUCAUUAAGUUCCUUGAAAACCAUAAGCAUUGACGAGGCAUUCGUAACUAUGAAAAGCAUGAUACUCCUACCUAUAAUUUACUUAACGCAAUCAUGACUAGUGACUUCCACUACUUGUGAAUAUAAGUUCAUAAUGAUUAGGUGAAACUCCCUUAUAGUCUAGCAUCAAGUUUAUGCAUGCAAACUAAGUAUGCCUCCUCAAUCAACAUACAUAAACAAGUUUUAAGAACUCAGAUAAGCAAAUCACAUUCAAGGCUAAAGAAACAAUAACUGGAUGUAAUCAAUUCAUAUAAAACAUAUAAUCAUGGCUUCGAAUUCACCUCCAACUAUAAAGAAAUUAGUUCCUCAUGUUUGCAAUUAAACAAAGAUAACUUAAAUUAGACAUUGAAAAUAAAAGAUAGAAAACACCUAAGAACGCUCCAGCAAUCCAAUGUUGAAUGGCAAGGCACUGCAAAGGGCUCUAAGAACUCUCUCAAUUGUAUUUGAAUAAAUGGGUGUAUGGUGUACGAAAAUAUGGUAAAGGGUGGUGUUUUGAAUUGUGGCAGAAAAUAUGUAUUUAUAGGCUAAGGUUUUGCGCAAAGUAGUAGAGGAGAAGGAUUACACAAUCCUAGAGGAAUAGGACUAGGAAAUUUAGCACAAAGCUUCUAGAAAGGGAUUAAAUUCGUCAGAUUUCUAGGGGGAAAGGAUUAGGUUAUUUGCAUUGUUUCAAGGCUUCUAGAAUCAGAUAUUAGGUAUUCUAAUGUGAUAAGGAGUCCUCCUUGCAGCUGCAAUUAAGGUAGGAUAUGAUUAGGAUAGGAUAAGAUAAGAUAAUGUUAGUUUGGAUGAGAUAAGGUUGGAUAAGGUUUUGGAUAAGAUAAGGCAGUUUGGAUAAUAUCUCAUUCUUUUGAGCUGAUUCCUUAUCUUCAAUGUCUUGAAUUAAUUUCUUCAACUCUUUAGCACAUUCCUAGCCUCUCUUGAACUUCAAAUUUGUCCAUUCCUUGUGCUCCAUAUGUAAGCUAUCCAUUCCAUCCCAAAACUGCUCUAAAAUGCUCCAAAAUGCACUUUCUUGCCAACUUUGUCAUUUGGACCUACAAACACACGAAAAUAGCUUAAAACACUAUAAUAAGUAGAAACUAGCUAUGAUAAUGCAAGAAAACAAGCUAACUAAUUCGCAUAAAUAUGCUCCUAUCAUGACACUUUCUCACCCUUUAUCCGAUCAAUGCAUUACCGCAAGUCUAGGGCAAAAGGUUUUCCAUGGGUUUAAUAUUUAAUUCCUGGUUUUGGAGUAAGGUGGUACUUCAAAUAUCGCAAUGCAAAUCUUUAUAAACGCUAAGUUUAGGAGGUGAUGCUUUUUCAAAUCAAUGUCACCAAGGGGGUUUUGAUGAACUAUGUCCCGGGCCCACAAGCUUACUUAUAUUUUUUCUCAAUACUCCUUACUUCGAAGUUAGCUUACUUUGGAAAGAUUGAUGGAUUAAACUAUAUUCUACAAUUAGGAAGAAAAUGAUGAAAAUUUCCAAGUGUUUUACUCUAACAAGCUUAAUGACUUGAGUAAAAUAAACUUAGCAGGAUAUUCCUAAGGUAUCUAAGUCCUUCCACAAUCCGCCUUGCAUCUAGCUUUUUAGCUAUGCAUCUGGAACCUCAACCAAGGGUUUACCAUAUGGUUUGGAACUCCAAAACAUCAAGCCAUUGAAAGACAAGCAAGUAGGACUAACUGGACUUGGCUGGCUCUGAAUCAACAAGACGUUGAAAAGUCAUUCUGACGCACAUUCCAAGGAAGUUAUUCUCGGAUGAUUCACUCAUAGUCCGUUGGUAACUAUCUAUCAUCAAAACGGAGCACAUUCUCAGAAGCAUAGUUAGGGGUAACUAUGGGGCCAUGAUUUUCUAGGCCUAUAACACGUGGAAAGAAUGAUUAGAAUACCCGAAGCCUAUAAAGUGUAGUCCGCUAGGAUAGGUUUAUGCCGGUUAAUAAUAUUACUUGUCUCUCAAAUAAAGAAACCCUAAUUAAAGUCAAAUUAUGAUAUCUUAGGGAUUGGGAAACAUAAUCAUGAUUAUAGAAAUAUUGGGUAUCUUAUCCUACAUUUCCUUUUAGAUAGUCUCCUGAUUUGAUGAAGAUUACUUUCCCUAUAAGAACUCUUAAGAUCCCUAUAAAUAUACUAGCUUGGGUAUUUAUCAGGGGAACAUCUAAUUCUCUCUAAGUAGGACGAACUUCGAUCUCUCUUUCUCAGAGCUAUCUCUUCUAGGACGAUCACUUUUCUCUCAACAAGACUACCAUUGAUAUCUACCUACAUUUACAUAUUUCCUUGUACAAAACCAUAAUACUUAAUAUCUCUAUGCUUAACAGAGGUCUUUACGUUGCCGUUUACGCAUAGAUACGUCCAUGAGGAACUCAUCUCCCAAUGUCACACCAUAAGCUAUUCAUCAAGGAUGGUUUACUCCACUAUUUCAUAGAACUACAUCCCUGGGUUGAUUCUCCUUCCCGAAGAUAUGUAGGUAGUCCUUCCUAGAUUCAACCACACCCCUUAAUCAACCCCAUUCUCCUCUCAUCGGAGACCAUGGGUUAGUCUGAUUGGGUUCUUGCCUUUGUUAAUAGAAAUACACGAAUUUGGUUAAAACAAGAUGGUAUAAUACACACCUCACAAUUAGACAUCUCUUUCUUU
This 3175-nucleotide long non-coding RNA is filed under the name Malus domestica (apple). RNAcentral's name for it is "long non-coding RNA (MDOM_LNC005793)". Lineage: Eukaryota; Viridiplantae; Streptophyta; Magnoliopsida; Rosales; Rosaceae. The record is from RNAcentral.